Molecule: ribosomal RNA, 251 nt
Filed under: uncultured bacterium
Lineage: Bacteria
Description: partial 16S ribosomal RNA
Rfam family: Bacterial small subunit ribosomal RNA
Source: RNAcentral
UACGUAGGUGGCAAGCGUUGUCCGGAAUUAUUGGGCGUAAAGCGCGCGCAGGCGGCCUCUUAAGUCUGAUGUGAAAGCCCCCGGCUCAACCGGGGAGGGCCAUUGGAAACUGGGAGGCUUGAGUAUAGGAGAGAAGAGUGGAAUUCCACGUGUAGCGGUGAAAUGCGUAGAGAUGUGGAGGAACACCAGUGGCGAAGGCGACUCUUGGCCUAUAACUGACGCUGAGGCGCGAAAGCGUGGGAGCAAACAGG